RNAcentral lists this ribosomal RNA (774 nucleotides) under uncultured Neocallimastigales. RNAcentral's name for it is "partial large subunit ribosomal RNA". It matches the Rfam family "Eukaryotic large subunit ribosomal RNA", at positions 26 to 616 of the family's 3401-position model. The record is from RNAcentral. Lineage: Eukaryota; Fungi; Neocallimastigomycota; Neocallimastigomycetes; Neocallimastigales.
CGCAUCUGUGCAUGCAGCAUAUCAAUAAGCGGAGGAAAAGAAACUAACAAGGAUUCCCCUAGUAACGGCGAGUGAAGCGGGAAGAGCUCAAAUUUGAAAUCUUAAAGGGUUUCCCUUUACGAAUUGUAGUUUAAAGAAGUGUUUUCUGUUGAGGUUUUGGUAAAAGUUCUUUGGAAUAGGACAUCAUAGAGGGUGAGAAUCCCGUAUUUGACCUUUACUUUCAACUUUGUGAUACACUUUCAAAGAGUCGGAUUGUUUGGGAAUGCAGUCCAAAAUGGGUGGUAAAUUUCAUCUAAAGCUAAAUAUUGGAGAGAGACCGAUAGCGAACAAGUACCGUGAGGGAAAGAUGAAAAGAACUUUGAAAAGAGAGUUAAACAGUACGUGAAAUUGUCAAAAGGGAAGCGUUUGACACCAGUGUUGUUUUUCUGAAAAUCAAUUAAAGAACUGUUUAUGCUAAGCUGUUUAGACUUUAUCAGCUAAUCUGUUUAGUUUUGAGCUUUUCUUUAAUGCACUUUUCAGUUAACAAGUCAACAUCAAUUUCUUUUGCUGUAAAAAAGCUUGAGGAGGUGGCUUGAGAUUCGUCUUAAGUGUUUAUAGCCUCUUGCCUACGCAGUCGGAGAGAUUGAGGUCUGCAGCGUAGAUCCUUCGGGGCUAAAUGCAUUUGUGCUAAGUUAUAACAUUUUAUAGACAACUUGUUGACUAUGAUUUGUCUUGUAGCUUACUCGCUUAUGUUAUUUUACCUACGCUUAGGAUGUUGAGCGCAUGUCUCUCUCU